Molecule: ribosomal RNA, 813 nt
Filed under: uncultured Sphingobacteriales cum 'Crenotrichaceae' bacterium
Lineage: Bacteria; Pseudomonadati; Bacteroidota; Sphingobacteriia; Sphingobacteriales
Description: bacterial SSU rRNA
Rfam family: Bacterial small subunit ribosomal RNA
Source: RNAcentral
GUCGUGGGGCAGCAUGACUGUAGCAAUACAGUUGAUGGCGACCGGCAAACGGGUGCGGAACACGUACACAACCUUCCUUUUAGUGGAGAAUAGCCCAGGGAAACUUGGAUUAAUACUCCGUAACAUAUAGAAGUGGCAUCACUUUUAUAUUAAAGCAGCAAUGCGCUAGAAGAUGGGUGUGCGGCUGAUUAGAUAGUUGGCGGGGUAACGGCCCACCAAGUCGACGAUCAGUAACUGGUGUGAGAGCACGACCAGUCACACGGGCACUGAGACACGGGCCCGACUCCUACGGGAGGCAGCAGUAAGGAAUAUUGGUCAAUGGACGCAAGUCUGAACCAGCCAUGCCGCGUGGAGGAUGAAGGUCCUCUGGAUUGUAAACUUCUUUUAUCUGGGAAGAAAUCCAUUUUUUCUAAAAUGGUUGACGGUACCAGAUGAAUAAGCACCGGCUAACUCCGUGCCAGCAGCCGCGGUAAUACGGAGGGUGCAAGCGUUAUCCGGAUUCACUGGGUUUAAAGGGUGCGUAGGUGGGCAAGUAAGUCAGUGGUGAAAUCUCCGGGCUUAACCCGGAAACUGCCAUUGAUACUAUUUGUCUUGAAUACUGUGGAGGUCAGCGGAAUAUGUCAUGUAGCGGUGAAAUGCUUAGAUAUGACAUAGAACACCAAUUGCGAAGGCAGCUGGCUACACAAAUAUUGACACUGAGGCACGAAAGCGUGGGGAUCAAACAGGAUUAGAUACCCUGGUAGUCCACGCCCUAAACUAUGGAUACUCGACAUUUGCGAUAAACUGCAAGUGUCUGAGCGAAAGCAUUAAGUA